CCUACGGGAGGCAGCAGUGGGGAAUAUUGCGCAAUGGGCGAAAGCCUGACGCAGCGACGCCGCGUGAGGGAUGAAGGUCUUCGGAUCGUAAACCUCUGUCAGCAGGGAAGAACGGUCACUGUGCUAAUCAGCAGUGAAUUGACGGUACCUGCAAAGGAAGCACCGGCUAACUCCGUGCCAGCAGCCGCGGUAAUACGGAGGGUGCGAGCGUUAAUCGGAAUUACUGGGCGUAAAGCGCUCGUAGGCGGUAUGUCAAGUCAAGGGUGAAAUCCCCGCGCUCAACGUGGGAACUGCCUUUGAAACUGGCAGACUGGAGUGUGUGAGAGGAUAGGGGAAUGCCAGGUGUAGGAGUGAAAUCCGUAGAUAUCGGGAGGAACAUCAGUGGCGAAGGCGACUAUCUGGCACAUAACUGACGCUGAGGAGCGAAAGCGUGGGUAGCAAACAGGAUUAGAUACCCCUGUAGUC
This 465-nucleotide ribosomal RNA is filed under the name uncultured bacterium. RNAcentral describes it as "partial 16S ribosomal RNA". It matches the Rfam family "Bacterial small subunit ribosomal RNA", at positions 338 to 795 of the family's 1533-position model. The record is from RNAcentral.